CUUCCAUGAAGACUGGAAUUGCUAGUAAUGGCAGGUCAGCAUACUGCCGUGAAUACGUUCCCGGGCCCUUGUACACACCGCCCGUCACACCAUGAGAGUUGGAAAUACCCGAAGCCUGUGAGCUAACUUAAAGAGGCAGCAGUCGAAGGUAGAGCCAAUGAUUGGGGUGAAGUCGUAACAAGGUAGC
RNAcentral lists this ribosomal RNA (187 nucleotides) under uncultured bacterium. Its description in RNAcentral is "partial 16S ribosomal RNA". It matches the Rfam family "Bacterial small subunit ribosomal RNA", at positions 1315 to 1500 of the family's 1533-position model. The record is from RNAcentral.